This 97-nucleotide non-coding RNA is filed under the name marine metagenome. RNAcentral's name for it is "Marine metagenome SAM-I sequence". It matches the Rfam family "SAM riboswitch aptamer (S box leader)". Rfam says of the family: The SAM riboswitch is found upstream of a number of genes which code for proteins involved in methionine or cysteine biosynthesis in Gram-positive bacteria. The record is from Rfam by way of RNAcentral.
UACUUAUCAAGAAAGGUGGAGGGAAAAGGCCCUUUGAAACCUUAGCAACCCCAAAUUAGGAAGGUGCUAAAUCCAGAUGUAAAAAUCAAGAUAAGAG